Long non-coding RNA from Hevea brasiliensis (rubber tree), 1473 nucleotides. RefSeq lists it as uncharacterized. Lineage: Eukaryota; Viridiplantae; Streptophyta; Magnoliopsida; Malpighiales; Euphorbiaceae. The record is from RefSeq and is a predicted model, not a curated record. The transcript is spliced from 2 exons.
AAGAGGAGAGGAGGAGAAAGAAAGGAAAAGAAAGAAAGAAGGGAAGAAGGAGAAGAAGAGAAGGGAAGAGGGAGAUGGUGCUGGAUUUUUUUGAGUUUCUCUAGCAAGAAAGAACACCAACAAGGAGAAAAGAAGGAUUUUGAUCUGGGGUAUAAGGAAUUUGAGAGAGAGAAAUGGAGAAGAAGGUGAAAAGUGGCAGAAGCAAGACUCUGCAGGGGGCAGCAGCUUUGCCUUCUGUUUAGAUAAGUUUGCUUCAUCUUUUAUUGUUGAGUUUUGAAUAUGUUGAAGGUCUAUAUAUGUAUAGAAGUUAUGGUUAAAAUUUGAUGAUUUUUCAAUGGUUAGAUUUGAGAAAUAAAUUGUUGAACACAGGCUAUUGUAAGUAGAACUCUGAAUUUUGGCUACUAAAAUUUGAGGAAAAUAAAUAGGAUGCUUAGAAAAUUAUGAAAUUGGUACAGGUGAUAUUUAGGAUGUUGAGGAUGUUGUGUUAAAAUUUAGCGAAUUUUAGACUUGUGGUUUAUGAGAUAUAAAUUAUUUUGUAUGAGUUAUCUAAUUAAGAAUGAUUUCUCAAAAAUUCAGAAUUUGAAGGGGAGGAUAAAUAUGUUGAUAUCUCAUGAUGCAAAGAUAAUUUGAUGCUAAAAUUUUUGCUGAUGAUGUAUAUGGAUGUCUUGAAUAUAUGGUUAAAAUUCAGGAUUUAUCUAAUAGUUGGAUCAUUAUAUAUAAAUUUAAAUAUGUAAGCUACUAGAUUGGAUAUUAAUGGUUGUGUUAAAUUGAAUAAGUGAUUUUGAUGGAACUAAAAUUAUUUUGAGAUAGGAUAUAGUAUUUAUUGAAUUUUUAUGUAAUUGUGGAAUAUUUUUGAGAAAGAAUUAUAUAUGUUUAGAUGGAUUUUUGGUGUUAUGGAUACAUUAUAGGACAUUUUUUUAUUGAGAUUUGAGUAGGAAGUAUUGGGAAUGAUAUUUAUAUGGAGAUAUGAGUUGGGAAUAUGGAUAUGUUGAUGUGAUUUUUGAAUGGUGGAUUUGAGUUUGUGAUAGGGAAUUGAGUUUAAUUUUAAGGGAAAAUGCUGUCGAAUUUUCAUUAAAUAUUUAAUAUGGAAAGUGAAACUUAUGGUUGAUUUUGAUUAUUAAAUUGUUACGGUUUAGGAGGAGCUUUUGGAUUAUGAUUUAUAUGGAUGGAAAAGUGAUAUAUGUGAGUUAGUAUCUUACAAUACAGUUUUGCAGGAGAUGUAAGAUGGAUGUUGAUAUUCAGUUUGAUGGUUUUAGAUGCUUCGAUUGGCUAGAAUCCACGGUCAUGGAAAGCAAAGGAAGGAUGAUUGUCAGUAGAGAUAAAGGUGUCACAUAAAACAUCAAUUAAGGUAAUUUUUGGACUUAAAGUGAUAUGUCCAGCACGUGUCACAUUUUGAAAGGACCCAUCAGGUAAAUGUGCAAGUUUUGGAUUUGAAAGAAGUAUGGUUUUGUCAAAAAAAAUUGAGGGUCAGAA